AGUGAACGCUGGCGGUAGGCCUAACACAUGCAAGUCGAACGGCAGCACAGUAAGAGCUUGCUCUUACGGGUGGCGAGUGGCGGACGGGUGAGGAAUACAUCGGAAUCUACUUUUUCGUGGGGGAUAACGUAGGGAAACUUACGCUAAUACCGCAUACGACCUACGGGUGAAAGCAGGGGAUCUUCGGACCUUGCGCGAUUGAAUGAGCCGAUGUCGGAUUAGCUAGUUGGCGGGGUAAAGGCCCACCAAGGCGACGAUCCGUAGCUGGUCUGAGAGGAUGAUCGGCCACACUGGAACUGAGACACGGUCCAGACUCCUACGGGAGGCAGCAGUGGGGAAUAUUGGACAAUGGGCGCAAGCCUGAUCCAGCCAUACCGCGUGGGUGAAGAAGGCCUUCGGGCUGUAAAGCCCUUUUGUUGGGAAAGAAAAGCAGCAGGUUAAUACCCCGCUGUUCUGACGGUACCCAAAGAAUAAGCACCGGCUAACUUCGUG
Molecule: ribosomal RNA, 492 nt
Filed under: uncultured bacterium
Lineage: Bacteria
Description: partial 16S ribosomal RNA
Rfam family: Bacterial small subunit ribosomal RNA
Source: RNAcentral